CACGUGACCCCUCCAGCCCCACCGAGCUUAACAGGGUCUCCGUCUGUUGGAAAGAUGUCCGUGUUUUAAAACGUCAGCAUUAAGAAAAAGAGGAUUCCUUCAUGAGUCUCACAGGAGCCACAAUUUAGCGUCCAAUUCUUGAGCUAAGAGAUCCACAACGAAAUUGUGAAAAUGUAUUCUUAUGCAGUCUUUGUGUAGUAUCAAAUGAUUGAGUUAGACAUGUAUGUUCGCAGCUGUGUUUUAAUAAAUGUAUACCCAGGUUCCAUA
Molecule: long non-coding RNA, 267 nt
Organism: Synchiropus splendidus (mandarinfish)
Lineage: Eukaryota; Metazoa; Chordata; Actinopteri; Syngnathiformes; Callionymidae
Exons: 2
Source: RefSeq, a predicted model, not a curated record